Molecule: transfer RNA, 69 nt
Filed under: Brycon nattereri
Lineage: Eukaryota; Metazoa; Chordata; Actinopteri; Characiformes; Bryconidae
Description: tRNA-Trp
Rfam family: tRNA
About the family: Transfer RNA (tRNA) molecules are approximately 80 nucleotides in length. Their secondary structure includes four short double-helical elements and three loops (D, anti-codon, and T loops).
Source: RNAcentral
AGGGACUUAGGUUAAUUAGACCGAGGGCCUUCAAAGCCUUUAGCAGGAGUACAAAUCUCCUAGUCCUUA